AUUGAACGCUGGCGGCAGGCCUAACACAUGCAAGUCGAACGAGCCGCGUACGGGUGAUUAAUUUCUGGGAAACUGCCUGAUGGAUGGGGAUAACUACCGGACACGGUAGCUAAUACCGCAUUCAUUCGGCUGUGCCCAGUUGGGAUUAGCUAGUAGGUGGGGUAAAGGCUCCCCUAGGCGACGAUCCGUAGCUGGUCUGAGAGGAUGACCAGCCACACUGGAAUUGAGACACGGUCCAGACUCCUACGGGAGGCAGCAGUGGGGAAUAUUGCACAAUGGGCGCAAGCCUGAUGCAGCCAUGCCGCGUGUAUGAAGAAGGCCUUCGGGUUGUAAAGUACUUUCAGCGGGGAGGCGUUACCAGCAGAAGAAGCACCGGCUAACUCCGUGCCAGCAGCCGCGGUAAUUC
RNAcentral lists this ribosomal RNA (406 nucleotides) under uncultured bacterium. RNAcentral describes it as "partial 16S ribosomal RNA". It matches the Rfam family "Bacterial small subunit ribosomal RNA", at positions 30 to 526 of the family's 1533-position model. The record is from RNAcentral.